AUGCUGACCCUGAAGCGUUUUCUUAAUGGACAAUGUUCAGCCAGGAACUGUGAAGACAAGGUAGAGUCUACCCGAAUGAUAAAGAAUACAGUCUCCUUUGAGAUCUAUUGCAGACAAAAAAGAAAGAAAGAAGAAAGAAAGAAAAGAAAGAGAAAGAGAAAGAGAGGAGAAGAAAAAAGAAAAGAAAGAAAAGAAAAGAGAAAAAGAAAAUCCAGCUUCCACCUUCAAGGGGCACAAGAUAAAUAAUUCUGGUUGGUUAAAAGUCUUCAGGUCAGAUAAAAGUCUUUCCGCUCUUGCCUCCUUGUUCAACAGGCAUCCUCUUCCCUUGUGAAUAUUUGGCUUGUGGGGGCAGAAGACAGUCCAAGGGCAGGGAAAAGGAGCUCUCCCAUCAGGCUCUAUGGAGCAACCUUGGUGCCUCUAAGAUUGUUUCAUCUGAUUGGUCAUCUGCUGCCUCCACUUCUACCUUCACAGACCCUGAACACUGGCCUGAGCCACACUGCUCUUCAUGAAAGUAUAAAAUCUCAUUCCAAACAAACUGGACCAACAUUAUCAAAUACAUCCCAUGUGUCGGAACAUGGGGCCGCCAAAGGAGAUGAAUCUGAGAUCAUCCCUGAAGAGUUCAGAGUCUAGCAAGUCAAAUCACUGCACCAUGGCCUUAUAAAAACCAGGGAGAGGGAUCCCUGGGUGGCGCAGCGGUUUGGCGCCUGCCUUUGGCCCAGGGCGCGAUCCUGGAGACCCGGGAUCGAAUCCCACAUCGGGCUCCCGGUGCAUGGAGCCUGCUUCUCCCUCUGCCUAUGUCUCUGCCUCAUUCUCUCUCUCUCUCUGUGACUAUCACAAAUAAAUAAAUAAAUAAUUAUUUAAAAAAAAAAAAAAAAACCAGGGAGACAGCAUGUGCCUGAUGAUCUGGGGACCAACUAUAUCCAAGGGAGAGUGAGCCACAGGGAGGAGAUGCACAAGCUAGGUCUUCAAGGAUGAGGAAGAGUUCUAGAGAUUGUGUCUAAAAGACAAAAAUAUCAAUAGUGAUGAUAGCGAUAAUAACAGCUGGCAUGUACUAGGCGAGCCCUUCACAACACACAUUAGUCUAAGCGCUUUACAGGCAUAAGCACAUAUAAUCCAACCCCAUGGAAGAGAAACAAUUGUUAUUCCCAUUUUAGAGACAUUAAGGCAUAGAGAGUUUUAGUAAUUUUCCUUACUUAUGUUAAUAAUUAACCACGUGGGGCCUUAACAUGUCAGGGGUAAAAGGGUAGAUAGGUUUCUAAGUCACAACUAGUCCAAAUGUUAAGUCUGGUUCCCUGUCCUCUCCCAAGGGCCUGGAAUAGUGCUGGGCACAUAGCAGGCACUUUGUACUAUCAGAGAAUGAGCCGUGGUUAUGUCAGCUUUUAUUUGUCCCCCUCCCCCAGAUCUACUCUCUAUCCUUCUCUAAAGUGUUC
RNAcentral lists this long non-coding RNA (1430 nucleotides) under Canis lupus familiaris (dog). RNAcentral describes it as "lncRNA (ENSCAFG00030001266.1)". Lineage: Eukaryota; Metazoa; Chordata; Mammalia; Carnivora; Canidae. The record is from RNAcentral.